UUUAUUGGAGAGUUUGAUCCUGGCUCAGGAUGAACGCUGGCGGCGUGCCUAAUACAUGCAAGUCGAGCGAAUGGAUUAAGAGCUUGCUCUUAUGAAGUUAGCGGCGGACGGGUGAGUAACACGUGGGUAACCUGCCCAUAAGACUGGGAUAACUCCGGGAAACCGGGGCUAAUACCGGAUAACAUUUUGAACYGCAUGGUUCGAAAUUGAAAGGCGGCUUCGGCUGUCACUUAUGGAUGGACCCGCGUCGCAUUAGCUAGUUGGUGAGGUAACGGCUCACCAAGGCAACGAUGCGUAGCCGACCUGAGAGGGUGAUCGGCCACACUGGGACUGAGACACGGCCCAGACUCCUACGGGAGGCAGCAGUAGGGAAUCUUCCGCAAUGGACGAAAGUCUGACGGAGCAACGCCGCGUGAGUGAUGAAGGCUUUCGGGUCGUAAAACUCUGUUGUUAGGGAAGAACAAGUG
Molecule: ribosomal RNA, 467 nt
Filed under: Bacillus cereus
Lineage: Bacteria; Bacillati; Bacillota; Bacilli; Caryophanales; Bacillaceae
Description: bacterial SSU rRNA
Rfam family: Bacterial small subunit ribosomal RNA
Source: RNAcentral